UGGGGAAUAUUGCACAAUGGGCGCAAGCCUGAUGCAGCCAUGCCGCGUGUGUGAAGAAGGCCUUCGGGUUGUAAAGCACUUUCAGCGGGGAGGAAGGCGAUAAGGUUAAUAACCUUGUCGAUUGACGUUACCCGCAGAAGAAGCACCGGCUAACUCCGUGCCAGCAGCCGCGGUAAUACGGAGGGUGCAAGCGUUAAUCGGAAUUACUGGGCGUAAAGCGCACGCAGGCGGUCUGUCAAGUCGGAUGUGAAAUCCCCGGGCUCAACCUGGGAACUGCAUUCGAAACUGGCAGGCUAGAGACUUGUAGAGGGGGGUAGAAUUCCAGGUGUAGCGGUGAAAUGCGUAGAGAUCUGGAGGAAUACCGGUGGCGAAGGCGGCCCCCUGGACAAAGACUGACGCUCAGGUGCGAAAGCGUGGGGAGCAAACAGG
This 429-nucleotide ribosomal RNA is filed under the name Chloroflexota bacterium. RNAcentral describes it as "Chloroflexi bacterium partial 16S ribosomal RNA". It matches the Rfam family "Bacterial small subunit ribosomal RNA", at positions 355 to 776 of the family's 1533-position model. The record is from RNAcentral. Lineage: Bacteria; Bacillati; Chloroflexota.